GGGUUGUGAGGUUAAGCGACUAAGCGUACACGGUGGAUGCCCUGGCAGUCAGAGGCGAUGAAGGACGUGCUAAUCUGCGAUAAGCGUCGGUAAGGUGAUAUGAACCGUUAUAACCGGCGAUUUCCGAAUGGGGAAACCCAGUGUGUUUCGACACACUAUCAUUAACUGAAUCCAUAGGUUAAUGAGGCGAACCGGGGGAACUGAAACAUCUAAGUACCCCGAGGAAAAGAAAUCAACCGAGAUUCCCCCAGUAGCGGCGAGCGAACGGGGAGCAGCCCAGAGUCUGAAUCAGUGUGUGUGUUAGUGGAAGCGUCUGGAAAGGCGCGCGAUACAGGGUGACAGCCCCGUACACAAAAAUGCACAUAUUGUGAGCUCGAUGAGUAGGGCGGGACACGUGGUAUCCUGUCUGAAUAUGGGGGGACCAUCCUCCAAGGCUAAAUACUCCUGACUGACCGAUAGUGAACCAGUACCGUGAGGGAAAGGCGAAAAGAACCCCGGCGAGGGGAGUGAAAAAGAACCUGAAACCGUGUACGUACAAGCAGUGGGAGCACAGAGCAAUCUGUGUGACUGCGUACCUUUUGUAUAAUGGGUCAGCGACUUAUAUUCUGUAGCAAGGUUAACCGAAUAGGGGAGCCGAAGGGAAACCGAGUCUUAACUGGGCGUUAAGUUGCAGGGUAUAGACCCGAAACCCGGUGAUCUAGCCAUGGGCAGGUUGAAGGUUGGGUAACACUAACUGGAGGACCGAACCGACUAAUGUUGAAAAAUUAGCGGAUGACUUGUGGCUGGGGGUGAAAGGCCAAUCAAACCGGGAGAUAGCUGGUUCUCCCCGAAAGCUAUUUAGGUAGCGCCUCGUGAAUUCAUCUCCGGGGGUAGAGCACUGUUUCGGCAAGGGGGUCAUCCCGACUUACCAACCCGAUGCAAACUGCGAAUACCGGAGAAUGUUAUCACGGGAGACACACGGCGGGUGCUAACGUCCGUCGUGAAGAGGGAAACAACCCAGACCGCCAGCUAAGGUCCCAAAGUCAUGGUUAAGUGGGAAACGAUGUGGGAAGGCCCAGACAGCCAGGAUGUUGGCUUAGAAGCAGCCAUCAUUUAAAGAAAGCGUAAUAGCUCACUGGUCGAGUCGGCCUGCGCGGAAGAUGUAACGGGGCUAAACCAUGCACCGAAGCUGCGGCAGCGACACUAUGUGUUGUUGGGUAGGGGAGCGUUCUGUAAGCCUGUGAAGGUGUACUGUGAGGUAUGCUGGAGGUAUCAGAAGUGCGAAUGCUGACAUAAGUAACGAUAAAGCGGGUGAAAAGCCCGCUCGCCGGAAGACCAAGGGUUCCUGUCCAACGUUAAUCGGGGCAGGGUGAGUCGACCCCUAAGGCGAGGCCGAAAGGCGUAGUCGAUGGGAAACAGGUUAAUAUUCCUGUACUUGGUGUUACUGCGAAGGGGGGACGGAGAAGGCUAUGUUGGCCGGGCGACGGUUGUCCCGGUUUAAGCGUGUAGGCUGGUUUUCCAGGCAAAUCCGGAAAAUCAAGGCUGAGGCGUGAUGACGAGGCACUACGGUGCUGAAGCAACAAAUGCCCUGCUUCCAGGAAAAGCCUCUAAGCAUCAGGUAACAUCAAAUCGUACCCCAAACCGACACAGGUGGUCAGGUAGAGAAUACCAAGGCGCUUGAGAGAACUCGGGUGAAGGAACUAGGCAAAAUGGUGCCGUAACUUCGGGAGAAGGCACGCUGAUAUGUAGGUGAAGUCCCUCGCGGAUGGAGCUGAAAUCAGUCGAAGAUACCAGCUGGCUGCAACUGUUUAUUAAAAACACAGCACUGUGCAAACACGAAAGUGGACGUAUACGGUGUGACGCCUGCCCGGUGCCGGAAGGUUAAUUGAUGGGGUCAGCGCAAGCGAAGCUCUUGAUCGAAGCCCCGGUAAACGGCGGCCGUAACUAUAACGGUCCUAAGGUAGCGAAAUUCCUUGUCGGGUAAGUUCCGACCUGCACGAAUGGCGUAAUGAUGGCCAGGCUGUCUCCACCCGAGACUCAGUGAAAUUGAACUCGCUGUGAAGAUGCAGUGUACCCGCGGCAAGACGGAAAGACCCCGUGAACCUUUACUAUAGCUUGACACUGAACAUUGAGCCUUGAUGUGUAGGAUAGGUGGGAGGCUUUGAAGUGUGGACGCCAGUCUGCAUGGAGCCGACCUUGAAAUACCACCCUUUAAUGUUUGAUGUUCUAACGUGGACCCGUGAUCCGGGUUGCGGACAGUGUCUGGUGGGUAGUUUGACUGGGGCGGUCUCCUCCUAAAGAGUAACGGAGGAGCACGAAGGUUGGCUAAUCCUGGUCGGACAUCAGGAGGUUAGUGCAAUGGCAUAAGCCAGCUUGACUGCGAGCGUGACGGCGCGAGCAGGUGCGAAAGCAGGUCAUAGUGAUCCGGUGGUUCUGAAUGGAAGGGCCAUCGCUCAACGGAUAAAAGGUACUCCGGGGAUAACAGGCUGAUACCGCCCAAGAGUUCAUAUCGACGGCGGUGUUUGGCACCUCGAUGUCGGCUCAUCACAUCCUGGGGCUGAAGUAGGUCCCAAGGGUAUGGCUGUUCGCCAUUUAAAGUGGUACGCGAGCUGGGUUUAGAACGUCGUGAGACAGUUCGGUCCCUAUCUGCCGUGGGCGCUGGAGAACUGAGGGGGGCUGCUCCUAGUACGAGAGGACCGGAGUGGACGCAUCACUGGUGUUCGGGUUGUCAUGCCAAUGGCACUGCCCGGUAGCUAAAUGCGGAAGAGAUAAGUGCUGAAAGCAUCUAAGCACGAAACUUGCCCCGAGAUGAGUUCUCCCUGACUCCUUGAGAGUCCUGAAGGAACGUUGAAGACGACGACGUUGAUAGGCCGGGUGUGUAAGCGCAGCGAUGCGUUGAGCUAACCGGUACUAAUGAACCGUGAGGCUUAACCUUACAACGCCGAAGGUGUUU
This 2932-nucleotide ribosomal RNA is filed under the name Escherichia coli. RNAcentral's name for it is "23S ribosomal RNA". It matches the Rfam family "Bacterial large subunit ribosomal RNA". Lineage: Bacteria; Pseudomonadati; Pseudomonadota; Gammaproteobacteria; Enterobacterales; Enterobacteriaceae. The record is from RNAcentral.